AACACUCUAGGUUUUACCAAAAUUGUUGCCAACACAUAGAACCAACAAACUUCCCCUUUGGCAAAUUUUGGCUAAAACAUACAUCAGACCAUUUGUUCACAAAAAAAACACAUCAGCAAUUUAGUAACAGAAGUAAUAAAACAUACAUUUACUAGCUAAAAUAGCAACUAGUAAACACACAUUAAACACACAUGUGCUUCUUCUCCCCCUCAGUCUGUUCAACACAGACAUUUCCUUCAACAACACCUGUA
RNAcentral lists this long non-coding RNA (251 nucleotides) under Lathyrus oleraceus (garden pea). Its description in RNAcentral is "Pisum sativum (pea) long non-coding RNA (PSAT_LNC005737)". The record is from RNAcentral. Lineage: Eukaryota; Viridiplantae; Streptophyta; Magnoliopsida; Fabales; Fabaceae.